Molecule: non-coding RNA, 4558 nt
Organism: Physcomitrium patens
Lineage: Eukaryota; Viridiplantae; Streptophyta; Bryopsida; Funariales; Funariaceae
Source: RefSeq, a predicted model, not a curated record
UCAAACCGUGUUUGUCACAGAAAGUGAAGAAGAAGAUGUGGAUGUUGCUCGAGAACCAGGCGUAGACGUUCGUCACCCUAGGAGAGAGAGCAAGCACAAUCUGAAGGGUGGGAAGGGGAAACCCUGCUUUACUCCCUUAGGGUUAACCUUUUUUCUUAGGGUGACCCUCCCUCCCUCUACACCUCUCCCUCUUUCUCUGUUGCUUGGCUAUGGCGUAGCGUCACUCUGGUUUUUUUUUUUUUUUUUUUUUUUUUUUCUCUCCUUUUCCUCAUAGGGUUUAAUGUCGGAACGAGUGAGAAGCCGUGCCGGCAGCAGGGAACGGAAGCCGCGAUCACGCUCCAGGGAAAGUAUGAGAGAUUCGAAGGUGGACGGGGGAGUGGACGCAAAGGGAAGAGGUCAUAGGGAUGCGGAUGACGGUCGGAGGCGGAGGUCCCGGUCGCGGGACAGCACGCGGGAUUCGAAGCGGAGGCGCAGGUCGCGUUCCAGGGAAAGCCCGAGGGAUUCUAAGUCGGGCCUGAAUUCUGAACGGAAAGCCCGCUCACGAUCUAGGGAAGGCGUGCGCGACCGUGAUGUUGAAGAUAAAGACCGAAAAAAAAGCUAUGGAGCAGCGGAUGAGACGCAUUCCAGGGGUCGUUGGAACGAUUCGGAUGGUGUUAGUCGCAGACGGGACGAGGAAAUUUGUGGCAAGAAAGGGAGGACUGAACACACCCGCAGUGGCGUAGAUCGAAGAGAAAGGUCACGGUCACGAGAGAGCGUUCGAGAUCGAAGGGCUGGGAGCAGGGAAAGCAAUCGCGACAGAGAUAGGAGGGCUGGGAGCAGAGAAAGCAUUCGCGACAGAGAAAGAAGGGCGGGGAGCAGGGAAAGCAAUCGUGACAGAGAAAGAAGGGCAGGGAGCAGGGAAAGCAAUCGUGACAGAGAAAGAAGGGCUGGGAGCAGGGAAAGCAAUCGUGAUAGGGAAAGAAGGGCUGGGAGCAGAGAAAGCUUGCGAGAGAAAGAUAGAGAGAGAAGAGCUGGGAGCAGAGAAAGCUUGCCAGAAAGAGAGAGAGGGGAUGGGAGUAGGCCUCGGGGCUAUGGUGAUGAGCAUCACGAUAAGAAUUCCGGGCAUGGAAGUCGAGUUAACGCGGUGAAGAAUCAUCAUAACGGAGAUAACAAUUUGCAUAAUGUAAGCAGAGAUGGAGCAUAUAGGGCUGACAGACAUGCGGAUAGGGAUUGGGACAGGAGCCGAGAUGGUGGUUACGGAAGUCAUCGUGAUCGCGACCGCCGUGAUAGGAGUUACCGGAAUCGGAGCUUCAGGGAGGAUCUUGAUUCUAUUAAGGAGCAAACAGAAAGGGAAGAAGAGGAGGAGGAAGAGUACAAAGAGCGCAUUGAUUCACAACUGGCUGCCCGGGAAGAAGACGAUCCUGAAAAGGUUAAAGAAGCAAGUAGGCGUCGUAGGCAAGCAAUACUAGAGAAAUACAAGCAACAACAGCAAGAGGAGCAGCCGAAUCAACAGGCAAUGGAAGUGGACAUCAACAAGCCUACUGAGGUUAAUGCUGUUGAUCAUAGCUUAGUCAAGAAGACGGAGCAGGGUCUACCUUCAAUUUCACCCGACAUUAAAGAGAUACAGGUUUUGGAAGAGCCUUUCAACGGCAUGGAAGUUGACUUGGAGAAGAAAAAUGUUGUCAAUGGCAAUACUCAAAUCGAGACUGCAUCAGCAGUUGGUGGCUUGGGACAAGGAUCACCGAAAAGUGAGUCAAAGUAUAAUGAUGAUAUGUUCUCUGACGAUAUUUUUGGGGAUUCACCAGCAGGGGGUCGGAGAAUGGGAAAAGGUGACGGCUUAGCUAUUAAUGCAAGUGGUCUGAAUGACAAUUGGGAUGAUCCUGAAGGACGAUACUGUUUCCGUAUUGGUGAGACCUUGGAUGGCCGAUACGGUGUUUUGGCGUCACAUGGCAGUGGUGUGUUUUCCACUGUGGUUCGAGCGCAUGAUUCGAAGGCAGGUAAAGAUGAUCCUGAAGAAGUCGCGAUCAAGAUCAUUCGCAACAAUGACACCAUGUAUAAAAUUGGCCAACAGGAGCUGGUGAUAUUGAAAAAAUUAGCUGGAGCUGAUCCUGAAAACAGAAGGCAUUGUGUACGACUACUUUCUAGCUUUGAAUAUCGGAACCAUUUGUGUUUGGUCUUUGAGUCUUUGCACAUGAACCUCCGUGAAAUUCUGAAAAAGUUUGGUCGCAAUAUUGGCAUCAACUUGACUGCAGUCCGAGCUUAUGCAAAACAGUUAUUUAUCGCUCUCAAACAUUUGCGGAACUGUGGAGUUUUGCACUGCGACAUCAAGCCUGAUAAUAUGUUGGUGAAUGUCGCAAUGAACGUGCUGAAGCUUUGUGAUUUUGGAUCUGCUAUGUUCGCUGGGGAGAACGAAAUCACACCUUACUUAGUCAGUCGAUUUUAUCGAGCACCUGAAAUCAUUCUUGGCUUACCUUACGACCAUGCUCUUGAUAUAUGGUCGGUUGGCUGCUGUUUAUAUGAGCUCUACUCCGGGAAGAUGCUAUUUCCUGGGCAUACCAAUAAUGACAUGCUACGUCUGCACAUGGAGCUGAAGGGGCCUUUCCCAAAGAAGAUGCUCAAGAAGGCGCAGUUCAAGGAUCAGCACUUUGACCAAGACUUAAACUUUUGUGCUGUCGAAGAGGAUCCCGUUACCAAGAAGAUGGUAAAGAGGAUAAUUAGAAACGAUCAUUUCCUCAAACCCAAGGACAUGGGACAUCUCGUUUACCCCUCAGGAGCAGCUGACGAAGACGCUAAAAUGGUUGCGCAGUUCAGGGAUUUGUUGGAGAAGAUGUUUGUUCUGGAUCCUGACAAGCGGAUGACUGUGUCAGAGGCAUUGAAUCACCCCUUCAUUGCGGGAAGGUGAUGCAGUUAUGCCAGCUACCGGCGUAUACAUUGUUGCCUGUCUGGACAUGAAGUUUUCUUCUGCAUAUGUAGAGCUUAGGAAAGUAAUCGUAAUCUUACAGUCUCCAGCAUCUAUUAGACCAACAAAACAAAUUCUGCUUUUUCGUUCUACAUUUUCUGCUAUUGAUCUCAAACUCUCUCUGUCGUGGCACUGCUCGUCGCGAGAUCUCGCCAAUCCACCAAUGGCGCCUGGCGUGGGUGGGCUUCUGCUGUUGUUUCAGGGCGAGACCCACAGAGCAUAUAACUCUGUACUAUUGGAUGCUCUCCUGUCUCAGGCGAUUAGCCCCUUUGGUGCUUUAAGCGCUAGGUAAUACAGCGGCGAGAAGGUACUCUAGUUCUCCUAAGGCUGACUGCGCACAUGUCUCUAGUGCGCUCCUCAAUAGUCCUCAUGACCUUAAGUUCGUUUUGGUGUUCCCGAGAAUACUUUUGCUUGCUGGUCUGUAGUUUUGUGUAUGGUUUGGUUUUCAAUGGUAUUGAGCCAAGUGAUACAUUUUGUAUCUUUUAGGCAGUGGAAUAUAGAUUCAAGGGUUAGUCACUUCGCAGGUUUGGCUGCUUCGUAGUCAGUAGAGUGCUUAAGGACAAGUCUGAAAUCAUUUAGUUUGAUCGUAUCUAUGGCGACACAUAAGACUGCUUUUGCUGUCAAGGUACGUUGCCUGAUUGAUUACCGCCCUUGGAUGUCUACUUGUGGUGCUAAAUUCUAACUAUAAGAUCGAAUGGGCGUUUAUUUUGGUUUUUGUUUAUCUACAAAUAUUCAGUAUCUUUCUAGAAUUAUACGGUGGGAAUGUAUGCCAAGGUUGAAUGCAUGACUCAGAACUGACAGUAAGUGUACUUUAGGUGGUGGAUGCCUCUUGUCUUGUCAGCACUCUGAGGAAGUGAUUUUGAAGACCACCUACAGUGAUCAGACUUAGAACAAUGAUGGGAUGCAUGCUCUUAAUAAAAUUAAGUUUGUGGUCAAAUGCUGCUAGUGGUUUCUCCCCUCUUCGAGUUACGACUCGGACUUCCAUGUAGUCGCAACAUCAGCAAUCAGUGAUGCAGGUCUUCACCAGCUUCACUAGAAGUCUCACCCUUAAAUGUGAGACCUGGCGUGGAAGUGGCCAGCCUUGUACUGGAACUGAAUGGAACCACGCUUAUUGGGGGCUUCGUCCGGGUUUGCGCAAAAGCAUGAGCUCCUUGACAACCAUCUUUUCUGUGAGUUUGGUAUGAACCGUCAGCAUUCGCUUGUUCGUGGUUCAGCUGAACGUCUAUCACUGCCCCUAGCUAUUAAUCAAUCACGUGCAUGGGUAGAAUCUCCAUGGUAUGUCUUCCAUAUGUGCUUCCGGGACUGGCAUUAGCAAUUUGGCAUGGAGCCCCGAAACGUACUGGCCGAAGAUGACAGCUGCGGCUUGACAUGACGCAACCUAGAGCUUGUGGUAGAGAUCAGAACGGACCCUAGACGUAGGGGAUCUCAGCCCACCUCUGAAUUUGCAAAUCUAAGUCUAUUGAGAGGAGGCAUGGACUCGGGUACGAAAUUGUGGUAAAAUGUGAAGAAUGGAGGGUUUCCAUCAUUUAUAGUUAGACCUUCAGGUAGCACUCGCUCAUCGAAUUGACAUCCCAUCUUGAACAUUGUGGAAAUAAUCCCCGUCAAUUUCUGUUCAAAAUA